Molecule: long non-coding RNA, 266 nt
Filed under: Mytilus galloprovincialis (Mediterranean mussel)
Lineage: Eukaryota; Metazoa; Mollusca; Bivalvia; Mytilida; Mytilidae
Source: RNAcentral
AGUGAGCUUUUCCCAUCACUUGGCGUCCGGCGUCCGGCGUCGUCCGGCGUUAACUUUUACAAAAAUCUUCUCCUCUGAAACUACUGGGCCAAAUUUAACCAAACUUGGCCACAAUCAUCAUUGGGGUAUCUAGUUUAAAAAAUGUGUCCGGUGCCCCGCCCAACCAACCAAGAUAGCCGCCAUGGCUAAAAAUAGAACACAGGGGUAAAAUGCAGUUUUUGGCUUAUCACUCAAAAACCAAAGCAUUUAGAGCAAAUUUGACAGGG